UAUAACGUGUCUGUGUCUAAGGGUGUCC
Molecule: non-coding RNA, 28 nt
Filed under: Bombyx mori (domestic silkworm)
Lineage: Eukaryota; Metazoa; Arthropoda; Insecta; Lepidoptera; Bombycidae
Source: RNAcentral